CAAGUUUCUCUCUUUCUCUCCUCCCCUAUUCUCUUUCCUGUUUUUAAUUUGCUCUCUCUUUUCUCUUUAAACCCUAAGUCCGCCGCCGCCGCUGUCCCCUUUCUUCACCUUAUCUACGGCCACCACCUCCAAUAAAAAAAUCUAAGCCAUUUUCGUACUCCUCAUCCCACGGUCUUUCUAAUGAACCGAUUGAAAUUUUAUUUCGAACAACAUCGAUGUCGACCAUGUUACUCCAUCUCCGACGGGUUCGUUAAGAACGACCAUCAUUUCUCCUUCUCCAACCUGUUUAUAUUCCUAUUAACAUGAGAAAGUUAGGUAUGUGGUAUUUUCACUAAAGAAUCAACCUUUCUGAGUUUUUUUUGCUAUUGCUUGCUUUUUCUUUUUACAGGCAUAUAAAGAGGAAAUUGAAGAACUCAAGUUUCUUGCUCAAUGGAAGAGAAACAAAGUUACUUUUUUCUUGCAAAGAUUUAAUUUUUCCUCAUUCAACAUCAAACUCAAGGUGAUAUAUUUCUCCUAUAAUUUUUCCUUACACAAGCAUUUGGAAGUGACUGCAGAUUAAAGAUUUGUGUGCAGGUAAAUGAUUUUCUUAAACAAGACAAAUGAUUUAGUAGGUAUAUCCAAGGUUUCAAAUUUGGGCGGAGGAGUUACUGUCAUGUCAUUUUUGUCUGAGUAAUGAGACAUGGUUAAAUUAAGGAAUAUGCUAUUAUUUUAUUUCUUAAAGUUGGACAAUAAAUUUCAUUUAGAUAUUUAGAUUGUUCAUAGUUUGGCUGUUUGCAAAUCACUACCAUAGUUAAAUUGUUCAUAAUUUAGCUCCUGCAAAUCUAUUUGAUACAUACCAACGUUAUUAUUU
Long non-coding RNA from Vicia villosa (hairy vetch), 850 nucleotides. RefSeq lists it as uncharacterized. The record is from RefSeq and is a predicted model, not a curated record. Lineage: Eukaryota; Viridiplantae; Streptophyta; Magnoliopsida; Fabales; Fabaceae. The transcript is spliced from 4 exons.